CAGGCCUAACACAUGCAAGUCGAACGAAGGCUUCGGCCUUAGUGGCGCACGGGUGCGUAACGCGUGGGAAUCUGCCCAAAGGUACGGAAUAACUCUCCGAAAGGAGUGCUAAUACCGUAUGAUGUCGCAAGACCAAAGAUUUAUCGCCUUUGGAUGAGCCCGCGUAGGAUUAGCUUGUUGGUGGGGUAAAGGCCUACCAAGGCGACGAUCCUUAGCUGGUCUGAGAGGAUGAUCAGCCACACUGGGACUGAGACACGGCCCAGACUCCUACGGGAGGCAGCAGUGGGGAAUAUUGGACAAUGGGGGCAACCCUGAUCCAGCCAUGCCGCGUGAGUGAUGAAGGCCUUAGGGUUGUAAAGCUCUUUUAUCCGGGACGAUAAUGACGUAUCCGGAGGAAUAAGCCCCGGCUAACUUCGUGCCAGCAGCCGCGGUAAU
RNAcentral lists this ribosomal RNA (435 nucleotides) under uncultured bacterium. Its description in RNAcentral is "bacterial SSU rRNA". It matches the Rfam family "Bacterial small subunit ribosomal RNA", at positions 43 to 524 of the family's 1533-position model. The record is from RNAcentral.